Molecule: long non-coding RNA, 1088 nt
Filed under: Theobroma cacao (cacao)
Lineage: Eukaryota; Viridiplantae; Streptophyta; Magnoliopsida; Malvales; Malvaceae
Description: long non-coding RNA (TCAC_LNC005402)
Source: RNAcentral
UAGAACGCUACGUAAAUAAUUUUUAUAGCAUAAAAGCAAAAUAAAUUCCUACAUACAGUAGCACACGCAGCCAGGUAUUCAAAACAUUUAACAAUGACAUGUGGGCCCCCGAAUGACUAAAAGUAAUGAAGGUUGUGAACCUACAAUUUUUAAGGAUGCAAGUCCAACUGUAGCCAUCAACGAAAUGAGCUAUCUACUGACUAUCCUGAGCCUGAAAUGGGUGAAAAGGAGGGUGGUGAGAUUAUAUAAUCCCAGUGAGUAAACAAAUAUCAUCUAAAAUAUCUAAAGCUGAGUAAAUGGAGACAGAUUAAAUAGAUUAGCAUAAAAAUGAUUCACAGCAUUUCGAACUCAUUUUAAUAAGAUAAAAUAUAUUCAUUUCAACCAAAUAAACAACGAGGCUUACGAUUUCCUGAAAAGCUUGGCUUGUGCCAAAAUCAUUCUCAUACUUGGUUUUUAGGGAUACCUUGUCCUGGGGCUAUCCCAACCGAAUCCGCCAAGGCUAUUAAAAAGUCAUGUACGCAUAAAUCAUGUUUUUACUUUGAAAACAUAGCCAUUCCUUGACGUUGGCUGAGUUCACCUUCACGUGGUGGUUUGGCGUGAAGUGGACUCUAAAGUUUUACCUCAGGAGUUACCCUACGUGCCUCUUCAAUCGAGGUAAGAAUAUACUCGGAUUUCAUGCCCCUCAAAAAGGCUGAUCCACAGAACCCGCCAUUACAGUGACCAAUCUAUAACCCACCAAUUCAAUAAAAUUUAAUAGCAUGACAUGGCAAUUUUAUCAUUAUCCAGCCUAACAAGGCAAACAACAGUUUAUAAAUUUUCAACACAAAUACCCAUCCAGCCAUUCAAUUCAAAACAUAAUUUACAGUACAACAAGUAGUCUCCAAUUACUCCAUUUUCAAGUCAUCAUUAAAUUUCAAAACAAUUUAUAAAAUCAUUUCAUUUAAACACAUUUUCCAUAAAAUUACAAAAUCGGAUAAAAACAUACUUUAGAUAAUUAAGACGAUAAUAAGGUUACUCACUAUAAUGGAAAUCGAGUUUCGAGUACUCCGAUUCUUGAUCCUCGGGUACUAUCUCUUUACUUUUGCCAG